GUGCUCACUUCAGCAGCACAUAAACUAAAAUUGGAACGAUGCAGACAAGAUUAGCAUGGCCCUUGCACAAGGAUGACACGUAAAUUCGUGAAACGUUCCAUAUUUUU
Molecule: small nuclear RNA, 107 nt
Filed under: Jaculus jaculus (lesser Egyptian jerboa)
Lineage: Eukaryota; Metazoa; Chordata; Mammalia; Rodentia; Dipodidae
Source: RNAcentral